RNAcentral lists this ribosomal RNA (253 nucleotides) under uncultured bacterium. RNAcentral describes it as "partial 16S ribosomal RNA". It matches the Rfam family "Bacterial small subunit ribosomal RNA", at positions 524 to 776 of the family's 1533-position model. The record is from RNAcentral.
GACGAAGGGGGCUAGCGUUGUUCGGAAUUACUGGGCGUAAAGCGCGUGUAGGCGGUUGGCCCAGUCGGGUGUGAAAGCCUUGAGCUCAACUCAAGAAAUGCACUCGGUACUGGGUGACUAGAGGACCGGAGAGGAUAGUGGAAUUCCCAGUGUAGUGGUGAAAUACGUAGAGAUUGGGAAGAACACCAGUGGCGAAGGCGGCUAUCUGGACGGUUUCUGACGCUAAGACGCGAAAGCGUGGGUAGCAAACAGG